This 484-nucleotide ribosomal RNA is filed under the name uncultured bacterium. RNAcentral's name for it is "bacterial SSU rRNA". It matches the Rfam family "Bacterial small subunit ribosomal RNA", at positions 28 to 526 of the family's 1533-position model. The record is from RNAcentral.
GACGAACGCUGGCGGCGUGCUUAACACAUGCAAGUCGAGCGGUAAGGCUCCUUCGGGAGUACACGAGCGGCGAACGGGUGAGUAACACGUGAGCAAUCUGCCCUUCACUUUGGGAUAACUUCCGGAAACGGAAGCUAAUACCGAAUACGACCACUUCAGGCAUCUGAUGGUGGUGGAAAGUUCCGGCGGUGAAGGAUGAGCUCGCGGCCUAUCAGCUUGUUGGUGAGGUAACGGCUCACCAAGGCUUCGACGGGUAGCCGGCCUGAGAGGGUGACCGGCCACACUGGGACUGAGACACGGCCCAGACUCCUACGGGAGGCAGCAGUGGGGAAUAUUGGACAAUGGGCGAAAGCCUGAUCCAGCAACGCCGCGUGAGGGAUGACUGCCUUCGGGUUGUAAACCUCUUUCAGCGGGGACGAAGCGAAAGUGACGGUACCCGCAGAAGAAGCACCGGCCAACUACGUGCCAGCCGCCGCAGUAACAC